UAGUAUUCAAUUGUCAGAGGUGAAANCCUUGGAUUUAUUGAAGACUAACUACUGCGAAAGCAUUUGCCAAGGAUGUUUUCAUUAAUCNAGAACGAAAGUUAGGGGAUCGAAGACGAUCAAAUACCGUCGUAGUCUUAACCAUAAACUAUGCCGACUAGGGAUCGGAUGAUGUUAAUUUUAUAAUGACUCA
RNAcentral lists this ribosomal RNA (190 nucleotides) under uncultured Glomeromycotina. RNAcentral's name for it is "partial small subunit ribosomal RNA". It matches the Rfam family "Eukaryotic small subunit ribosomal RNA", at positions 892 to 1078 of the family's 1831-position model. Lineage: Eukaryota; Fungi; Glomeromycota. The record is from RNAcentral.